UACGUAGGGGGCCAGCGUUGCUCGAAAUUACUGGGCGUAAAGGGUUCGUAGGCGGUGCGGCAAGUUGGGAGUGAAAUCUCUGGGCUUAACUCAGAGGCUGCUUUCAAAACUGCCGUGCUCGAGUGCGGGAGAGGCGAGUGGAAUUGCAGGUGUAGCGGUGAAAUGCGUAGAGAUCUGCAGGAACACCCGUGGCGAAGGCGGCUCGCUGGACCGCAACUGACGCUGAGGAACGAAAGCUAGGGGAGCAAACAGG
RNAcentral lists this ribosomal RNA (253 nucleotides) under uncultured bacterium. Its description in RNAcentral is "partial 16S ribosomal RNA". It matches the Rfam family "Bacterial small subunit ribosomal RNA", at positions 524 to 776 of the family's 1533-position model. The record is from RNAcentral.